Molecule: ribosomal RNA, 478 nt
Filed under: uncultured bacterium
Lineage: Bacteria
Description: bacterial SSU rRNA
Rfam family: Bacterial small subunit ribosomal RNA
Source: RNAcentral
AAUCAACGCUGGCGGCGUGCCUAACACAUGCAAGUCGAACGAGAAAGUGGAGCAAUCCAUGAGUAAAGUGGCGACCGGGUGAGUAACACGUGACUAACCUACCUUCGAGUGGGGGAUAACCUCGGGAAACCGGGGCUAAUACCGCAUAAUAUCUUCGGGAUGAGAAGCCGAAGAUCAAAGGAGCAAUUCGCUGGAAGAGGGAGUCGCGGCUGAUUAGCUAGUUGGCGGGGUAANGGCCCACCAAGGCUACGAUCAGUAGCUGGUCUGAGAGGAUGGCCAGCCACAUUGGGACUGAGACACGGCCCAAACUCCUACGGGAGGCAGCAGUGGGGAAUCUUGCGCAAUGGGCGAAAGCCUGACGCAGCCAUGCCGCGUGGAUGAUGAAGGUCUUAGGAUUGUAAAAUCCUUUCAGCGGGGACGAUAAUGACGGUACCCGCAGAAGAAGCCCGGCUAACUACGUGCCAGCCGCCGCCGUAAU